GAGAGCUAAACGCUGCGCGCACCAACCCAGGCCCGAUGGUUUGUUGGACAGACUGGACUUGAGAAGGUACAAUCAGGAACCAGCUUCAUUAUUUUCCAAGCACUGCCUUCAACUAGACUCUUUGGAUCACCUUCCCCAAUUCAGAGGAUUUGUACGCCAAAUCUCAGACACUUUCAGAACUCUUCCCAGAUUCCAUUUAUCUCAAAGGAGAAGAAACAGGCUGAUCUGCAUUCAGCAAGUGACUGCCCCAGCGCCUCUGCAGUGUGAAGAUUUGAAAUCGACUUUCUCCCUGGAGGAUGUUUCUUGGAUGCAGGAGGGGAAGAAAAGUCAGCUAAGCCAAGCCAUCUUUAAAGAUCUUCUCUCGGAAGCAAGCCAAAGAAGCUUAAUGGAUCCACUGACAACUGUCUCUCUUUUGUGAGACUGACAUAGUGGUAUUGCAGGAGGGCCUCCAUCAGCUCAGGUUGGAACACCAGGACAGGGGUUCACGGCUUGAAGGAAAGGGUCGCCAGAAAAGCCAGAGUGGAGACUGCAGGGAGUACAGAUUUGAAUGAACUUUGGCUGCUCCAUCAAGCAUGCUGAUCACUGAGGAAACAUCAGAAGCCUCACCCA
Molecule: long non-coding RNA, 609 nt
Organism: Balaenoptera ricei (Rice's whale)
Lineage: Eukaryota; Metazoa; Chordata; Mammalia; Artiodactyla; Balaenopteridae
Exons: 5
Source: RefSeq, a predicted model, not a curated record